GAGGGUAUAGCUCAGUGGUAGGGCGCAUGCUUAGUGUGCAUGAGGUCCUGGGUUCAUUCCCCAGUACCUCCA
This 72-nucleotide transfer RNA is filed under the name Camelus bactrianus (Bactrian camel). It matches the Rfam family "tRNA". From Rfam's summary of the family: Transfer RNA (tRNA) molecules are approximately 80 nucleotides in length. Lineage: Eukaryota; Metazoa; Chordata; Mammalia; Artiodactyla; Camelidae. RNAcentral also lists the same sequence under 2 other names. The record is from Rfam by way of RNAcentral.